This 1171-nucleotide long non-coding RNA is filed under the name Coturnix japonica (Japanese quail). RNAcentral describes it as "lncRNA (ENSCJPG00005009971.1)". Lineage: Eukaryota; Metazoa; Chordata; Aves; Galliformes; Phasianidae. The record is from RNAcentral.
CAGCUCUGCCCAGGUUCUGCCUGCUUUUGUUGUGCUUCUCCUCCCCUGGUGCCUCAGUGGGCAGUGCAUGCAGCGAUGAGGAGGAAAGAAGUCUGCUUAGCAACACAAAGAUGCAAUUUGUGCACAGUCUGACAUUACUUAUGGCAGAUCCCUCUGGCAGUGCAUAGCAGGAGAGCAGCCCUGAUGGCCUUCAGUGCUGUGCCUGGCACUAAGGCACUUUUUGUGUGUGCUUUGUUCACCUUCCAGCACUGAUAGUCCCUCCAGCAGAGGUACCAACAACUCCUGGAGCCUUUGUGUCAAGGCAGUACAUGUCUCCCUGGUACCCAGUUAGAAGAGCACUUCAGGUCAAUCCCUGCUAGUUGGGUGAUAUGUCGCAAGCUCUCAUUAUUUGCCCCUCAGCUUUUCACUUCCUCUCUCCUCUUGUAAUGUCACAGAGAAACCUGUUCUGCCGGGUGACAGCUGAUGGCAGGCACAGCCCCAUGCUUGCACAGCCUUCCCUGGUGGGAACUAUUUUUUAAUGUCCAACUUUGAGCUGACUGCCUUAGUUUGGCUUGGGCUUUCCCCACCUACCUGUUGCUCAUUUCAAUCCCAGCCCAUAGCAGCUCUUCAAAUCCUGCAUUUUCUUCCCUCCUGCAUAUGAUUGAGUAAGCAGUGAGCUCGAGGUUGCAUACCGGGCUGCCAGCUCACGGCGUGCCAGCUGGACUGCGGCUACCAGUCCCACAACCGCGUGGCUGGUCCUCUGACACACCCAGGUAAUUUCUCUCUGAGAGUGAACCUCCCUCAUUCCUCCCAUGGUUUCUGCUGGCACCACCUCCAUCUCUCCAGUGCAGGCAAGCAGCUCAGGAGGCCGACCUCUCUCUGGCCAGGGACUGUCUGGCCUUGCGUACUUCAUGGUAAUGUCACUGGAGGUGCUUCGGCAUCUGAAGCCUCUGUGAAUCAUGUGUCCCCCCAGUGGGUUUCCUUGCAGUGUGUCAGCCAGCAAUGCCACCAGUGUGCUGAGAGCCAGAGGAAGACUCAGUGGUGAUCCUGGAUUACAUCACAGGGCCGGAGGAUAUUUGGAGGGCUGGUUGUCAGCUGCACAGAGAAAUAUGUUUAUUUCAAACAACUUCAGCAAGGUUGGGAAUUACUUUUUGGUGUUAAGAAUGGAAGAGACCAUUCAUUACCAUUGAAG